UACGUAGGGUGCAAGCGUUAAUCGGAAUUACUGGGCGUAAAGCGUGCGCAGGCGGCUUUGCAAGACAGAUGUGAAAUCCCCGGGCUUAACCUGGGAACUGCAUUUGUGACUGCAAGGCUGGAGUGCGGCAGAGGGGGGUGGAAUUCCGCGUGUAGCAGUGAAAUGCGUAGAGAUGCGGAGGAACACCGAUGGCGAAGGCAGCCCCCUGGGCCAACACUGACGCUCAGGCACGAAAGCGUGGGGAGCAAACAGG
This 253-nucleotide ribosomal RNA is filed under the name uncultured bacterium. RNAcentral's name for it is "partial 16S ribosomal RNA". It matches the Rfam family "Bacterial small subunit ribosomal RNA", at positions 524 to 776 of the family's 1533-position model. The record is from RNAcentral.